GCUAAGAAAGCAGAUUGAUGCACCUGCUUACAUCGAAUGCAGUGCGAAGUCGCAGCAGAAUGUGAAGUCGGUGUUUGAUUCAGCCAUCAAAAUCGUUCUUCAACCUCCCAAGCCGAAGAAAAAGAAGAACAAAGCCUGCUCGAUAAUGUGAGCGGAAAAGGAAAAUGUA
Molecule: long non-coding RNA, 169 nt
Organism: Hibiscus syriacus
Lineage: Eukaryota; Viridiplantae; Streptophyta; Magnoliopsida; Malvales; Malvaceae
Exons: 2
Source: RefSeq, a predicted model, not a curated record